UUUUUGUCCUACAGCUUUAAGAGGCUCUGUCUCGGCUCUUAGUUGUUGGCACACCUGUUCACCAUAAGUCAUCACAGCACAGCUCAUGGGCUGGGCUCCUCCAAAGGUGUUGGUGGGUCGAGCAGUCUGACGGAGGAACGUAGUCGGCCAUCUUGGAAAGAAGAAAAUGUUUUCUUCACACACGGAACAAGACGCCAAAGAGAGCCCAACACCUCAGUGCUCUCAGUUGGCUGAAGAUGCUCACUCAAGUGCAAACUUACUUGAGCACUACAGGUGUGAUCAGUGUAACAA
Non-coding RNA from Maylandia zebra (zebra mbuna), 291 nucleotides. Lineage: Eukaryota; Metazoa; Chordata; Actinopteri; Cichliformes; Cichlidae. The record is from RefSeq and is a predicted model, not a curated record.